UUGUGGCCCUUUAAUUUUUCAGCGCAAUCAAUUUCCCAAGCGGAGACUAACCGGCUUCGAAACGCAGGCUGUGCGCCACUGUUGUAUCUCGGAAGCACAACUGCUAAAAGGAUGCAGCACGAUGGCUACACCGCGAGCUGCAACAGACUCACGCCAUGAAAAGAGCUAUUAUUCCUUGCCGAGCUCCCACUUACCAGCCGGCUGGCGCACAGGAGGGGAUGGGUCAGUCGGUCCUCUCUCAGCGCAACCACAGCGCGCCGAUUUCAACAUAGCUUGCACUAAGGAGUUCAUCACAGCAGCACACGCGCGCAACGCGGUAUUCGGAGGGUGAUCUCUGCUAGCCGGGAGCCCCUCGGGGCCCCCUAACCCGGCACGACCUCUUCUCCCGUGAUCCCUGAUGCAGUCAGUCUGUUUGGCCUCCAGUCCACUUAUUUAGCGGGGUUCCUGAAGUGGUUUUCCGCUUCCCGUUGGACCUUUGUUGCCUGCAGCCUUUGCUAAUGACCCGUUGCGGGUGCACAUGUCCUUGCUGCAGCUCUUACUUGCCGGUCCUUAUCCCCGUGGUUUCCCCCGCACAGCACAACACCACGAGGAUCCUAAGCUGGCGCAAGCUCAGCAGGUGUCAAUGGCCUACUUGACACGACGUGACGUGGGUUGGAAAAAUGUUGUUGCAUGGCAUGGCGUGGGGGGUGGGGGUGGUGUUGGACGCAUCACUCGGUUUCCUUUUUUUCCUAGGACGCGAUGCGGCACGGACGUCGACAUGAUCACAUAUCAACGAUCAUAUGGUUGCGGCAACUCCCCUCGGCACGGCGACUGCGGCUGCGGUUGCUGGAGUGGUAGGAUCGCCCUGGAGGACGCACAGACAAAUUGAGGAAGGGAAGCUGAGAAGGCACCACAGGGGGGUGGGGGCCGGGAAAUGGAGCCCAUAUUGAAUGGGGCCAAGAAUAUCCGCACCGCGUGAUUUUGAUGAACUAAAGUUUCCCUUUGGGAGAAGAACGAUUAAGAAAAGGACGGGAUAGCGAUCGACGGGGCAGGCACGGGAGCAUUGCUGUUAAACACAACGGCCUGAAUGUGAUGACGCUUUGCGGGGACCAGCAGUCCAUGGGGCUUUGGUGGUAACGGCGCAAGGUAAACGCACGAUAGCUAGGCGAAUAGGUAACCACGCGGACGGGGUAUCAUGAGAACGAAAUCGCACAAAGAAGUCUGAUGUUAAAAUAUACCGCGCACUGUGUCAGCUUUGACUUACAUCCAUACUCUUCCUCCUCUUAGGUAGUGCUAGCUCCGAAGAGCACCACAAAUAAUUCUACCCGCGGUACAUAUUUACUCUGUAUUUCUGCUUCUGAGUUCUAUCCGCGCCGACUGACGUAGACUUUGACCUAGACCGACCUAUAAGCAGACGUGGAGACGGACAAACAGACUGGCGAGCUCCAUGUUUGGCAGGUUUUAAAUCUUUUCUAAGACGCGCCCCGCUGCAAGAGCUGUAGCGGGUAUGUAGCAGCCAUAUGCAAAGCCGCACUCAUCGCGGAUUUAAGGAAAAAGAUUAUGCCAUUUUUUAAGAAGAGUUAAGUUAGUAUAUAUGUGUGGAGCGGCCGCAUGUAUGCUAAGGAACAUAUGGAAAGGGACAGCGUGGAAAGUGCAACGAAAGAGCCGCGGUGCUGGCCCAGAAAGCAACCGCCGGAGGAGCGAAAGCAACUACCGUUUCCCCAGCGGAUCAGCAGCCUGCUACAAUCUGUAGUAGUGUAGUAGUAGCACGAACACAACCACACAACAAAGGACAGAACCUGGAGUUGCGGAAAUUUACGUGGUGGCUGGGGAACCGAAAGGCGCAGCUGCUUGAAGCAUGCUUAUGGCGAACAAUGGCGAGGCGGCGGCGAAGAGGCAGCGACGUGAAACGCUCCCCUCCGCCAUCCAGAUGGCAGAAAAGUCAGGCUGAUUAACCAAUCAUCAACUUAGCCAGCAAAGAAGCGCAAAAUAACUAAAGAUCCAAAUCGGAACAUAUCAUUCCUGCGCGCGCACACACACAUGUGGGGACUAUAGCGGUGACGGUCCUUGGCCGUUGUUGUUGCUGCUGCUGCGGCGGCUCCUGCUGUCACCUGCGACAGACGCCGGCCGCCUGCUCUUAUCGCUGCUCUCCUUCCUUUCAAUAGUUUCACCUCCCUCCUUCGCUGCCCACGCAAAAUGGCUUGCCAGGAUAUGCUCCACGCUCUGCAUUGCCACCGACCUGCAGCCCAUCCCCCCUUCAGGUCCACGUCGACGAGCUUCUCGUUCGCAAACCCACACAUCCCCAAUGGGUGCGAUAACCAGGCGCUUGGGCUGGCACCGAACUCCGUAUCCCCAUCCCCAACCCCCAAUCCACCACUACACACGCGCCGGGCAUCCCCUAACAUGUACAUGUCCAGCAAAUCCUCUGCAACAAAAACUGCACGGGGCUGCCAGUGC
Molecule: long non-coding RNA, 2436 nt
Filed under: Volvox carteri
Lineage: Eukaryota; Viridiplantae; Chlorophyta; Chlorophyceae; Chlamydomonadales; Volvocaceae
Description: long non-coding RNA (VCAR_LNC002457)
Source: RNAcentral